UCUGCUCACAUGUCAGAUGAAAACAAAUGUAUUAUCGGUUUGACUCUCUGGCUUAGGUUGAGCGAUGGCAGUCACUAUCUGUUUGCCGCCUCAUCUCAAGAAGAACAGAAAAAGUGGCUGAAGGAACUUCAACAAAUCCAACAGUGUCUUCAGACAGUCCUGGAAUUAACACAAAAGCAAGUAGAGAAAGCACAGAGCAGUGUGAGUCUGUGCCAGGCGACACAUCUGACACACAAGAUUCCACCACAAAGUCCAACCAGGAAAAGGAAGACUCCACAGAGAGCUGUGAGACCGAGAGAGAGCCACCACCUAAACCUCCCCACACUUAUUACAACAAACACCGCUACCCUGACGGAGGAGAGAGCCAAGACUCAGAUGGUCAAUGGUUUCUCUGAAACAGAAUAAAAAAUAAAAAAUAAAUUUAAUCUCUUCAGUGAGUGUGACCCAAAAUGUAAGAAGUCUACAGAGGAACCAGCCUCCCUCGUAUGCCCCACCACCUCCACCACAAAACCAGGUUGAGAAUGGAGCCAAGGACAAAUCCAAAAACAGGAGUGUCUUUAUGAAAUUAAAAAAAAAAUAACUUUUUCAUAACAGAUUUGAC
Molecule: long non-coding RNA, 601 nt
Filed under: Sinocyclocheilus anshuiensis
Lineage: Eukaryota; Metazoa; Chordata; Actinopteri; Cypriniformes; Cyprinidae
Description: lncRNA (ENSSANG00000041240.1)
Source: RNAcentral